RNAcentral lists this long non-coding RNA (218 nucleotides) under Nicotiana benthamiana. Its description in RNAcentral is "long non-coding RNA (NBEN_LNC028909)". The record is from RNAcentral. Lineage: Eukaryota; Viridiplantae; Streptophyta; Magnoliopsida; Solanales; Solanaceae.
UUGGAACGGUUGUCUUCCAAUACAGAGAAUGAAGCUCUCGUUUCUUCUUCACCGACCUUCUUUUUCUUCUUCUGCCAUGGCUGCCUAGCUCAAUAUGGUAUCAUAGCUUCAAGGCUAGGUCGAGUAACUCAGCAGCUUCAGGAGAGGAUGAUCGAUGGUUAAUAGCCUCCUUUUCUUUGUUCUUUUCAAUUUUUUUCAACAAUUUUCUUGAAGUCUGG